This 852-nucleotide ribosomal RNA is filed under the name uncultured Nitrospiraceae bacterium. Its description in RNAcentral is "bacterial SSU rRNA". It matches the Rfam family "Bacterial small subunit ribosomal RNA", at positions 58 to 905 of the family's 1533-position model. Lineage: Bacteria; Pseudomonadati; Nitrospirota; Nitrospiria; Nitrospirales; Nitrospiraceae. The record is from RNAcentral.
CAAGUCGAGCGAGAAGACGUAGCAAUACGUUUGUAAAGCGGCGAACGGGUGAGGAAUACAUGGGUAACCUACCCUCGAGUGGGGAAUAACUAGCCGAAAGGUUAGCUAAUACCGCGUACGCUUCUUGGACUUCGGUUCAGGGAGGAAAGCGAUACCGUGGGUAUCGCGCUCUUGGAUGGGCUCAUGUCCUAUCAGCUUGUUGGUGAGGUAACGGCUCACCAAGGCUUCGACGGGUAGCUGGUCUGAGAGGACGAUCAGCCACACUGGCACUGCGACACGGGCCAGACUCCUACGGAAGGCAGCAGUAAGGAAUAUUGCGCAAUGGGCGAAAGCCUGACGCAGCGACGCCGCGUGGGGGAUGAAGGUCUUCGGAUUGUAAACCCCUUUCGGGAGGGAAGAUGGAAUGGGGUAACCCAUUCGGACGGUACCUCCAGAAGCAGCCACGGCUAACUUCGUGCCAGCAGCCGCGGUAAUACGAAGGUGGCAAGCGUUAUUCGGAUUUACUGGGCGUACAGGGAGCGUAGGCGGUUCGGUAAGCCCUUUGUGAAAUCUUCAGGCUUAACCUGGAACAGUCGGAGGGGACUGCCGGGCUAGAGGACGGGAGAGGAGCGCGGAAUUCCCGGUGUAGCGGUGAAAUGCGUAGAGAUCGGGAGGAAGGCCGGUGGCGAAGGCGGCGCUCUGGAACGUUUCUGACGCUGAGGCUCGAAAGCGUGGGGAGCAAACAGGAUUAGAUACCCUGGUAGUCCACGCCUUAAACUAUGAAUACUAAGUGUCGGCGGGUUACCGCCGGUGCCGCAGCUAACGCAUUAAGUAUUCCGCCUGGGAAGUACGGCCCCAAGGUUGAAACUCAAA